Molecule: long non-coding RNA, 1137 nt
Organism: Oxyura jamaicensis (ruddy duck)
Lineage: Eukaryota; Metazoa; Chordata; Aves; Anseriformes; Anatidae
Exons: 2
Source: RefSeq, a predicted model, not a curated record
UAAAAAAAAAAAAAACACUGCUUCAUGAGAUACUGCAGCCGCCCCCGUACCUCUGCUCGCUUUCUUUCUUUUAAUUAGGAUAACAUGAACCAAUCUAGGAGAGGGGAAGCCAGGUCUGCAGAGGCGAGGGAGGUGCUGACUGCACCCGAAGGGGAGCAUCAUUCUGCACUCCAGUGACAAACCCUCCCUGCUCUGCUGGCAGUGGUGAGCCAAGCCCCGCGGCAUCCCCAGAGGCUGCGCAGGGUCCGGUGGUGAAACACGGCUCGCUCGCUGUCGGGGGAAGCGGGCAUCCUGCUGGGACACCGGCGAGAUUCCUGCCGCAGCCAAGUGAAGCAGCAGCGGAGACACGAGCAGAUGCAGUGAGAAAAGAUUGGUCUCUGGAGGGGAAGCAGCUGAAGCCCCGGUCUCUCAGCCACAUUAUCUGGAUGGCUUCAUCAUCGCUGCCAACCCUCUGCGGUGCCACGCGGUUCCCAGAGCAUGGCUAUAAGGCUGGAAAUGACUCCUGUAGCUUCGUGAUGGAGGCAUGGCCUUACUGAUACAGAGACACUUUUAAGGGGACUUUGACCAGAGUCCAACAUUUGCCUGUUUCAGAGCCCUGUCAAGGGCUUUCACUGAGACAGUUUCACAAAGUUGAACAUAUUGAAUGAGACAACAGAUGUAACAGUUUCAGAAUUGCCACUGAUAAAUACAAUAGUGCUCAUAUACAAUAAAAGUGCAAGGAAAAUGCUAUCCCAGAUAUUAUUCCUCACCAAAAGGUGCAGAGCUUACCAAGAACUUGUCCCUGUCUUGGUGGAGGAGAAGGAGCACAGUCCAUUGACUGCAUCUUCUAGGUUUCCAAUUCCUUCAUGCCCCCCCCCCCGCCCCAGUUUUUCUUUUUUCCUCCAAGUUUUUUUUUUUUUCCCAACACUGAUUUUUUUUUUUUUUAACACUAACCCCUAACACUCUUUUAUAUCCUAACCUUACCUGUUCCCUUCCUGAGGUGGCAUUUAGCCAUUUGGGUGAAGAGUUGAGUACUAUAACCACUUAUGUUUAGCAUGUACGUCAUUAAGCUCAUUAUCAUCUUCAGGGAGCAUUAACUUUAACAUUCAUUUUAUACGUAAUGAAGCAAAAGGUUUCACUCAGGCACCAUGGCCCUCA